GUGAAAGUCAUCUAACGGUUAAGAUAUUGGAUUGUGACUCCAAGUAUGCCAGUUCGACUCUGGUCUUUCACCCCA
This 75-nucleotide transfer RNA is filed under the name [Eubacterium] sulci. Its description in RNAcentral is "tRNA-His". It matches the Rfam family "tRNA". Rfam says of the family: Transfer RNA (tRNA) molecules are approximately 80 nucleotides in length. Their secondary structure includes four short double-helical elements and three loops (D, anti-codon, and T loops). Further hydrogen bonds mediate the characteristic L-shaped molecular structure. tRNAs have two regions of fundamental functional importance: the anti-codon, which is responsible for specific mRNA codon recognition, and the 3' end, to which the tRNAs corresponding amino acid is attached (by aminoacyl-tRNA synthetases). tRNAs cope with the degeneracy of the genetic code in two manners: having more than one tRNA (with a specific anti-codon) for a particular amino acid; and 'wobble' base-pairing, i.e. permitting non-standard base-pairing at the 3rd anti-codon position. The record is from RNAcentral. RNAcentral also lists the same sequence under 1 other name. Lineage: Bacteria; Bacillati; Bacillota; Clostridia; Peptostreptococcales; Anaerovoracaceae.